AGGAAACAAAAAAGAAAAAAGAAAAAAGGGAUCAUUUUUCAGUCACAGAAAUUGUAGGGAAAGGAUUAGUUUUUGCC
Molecule: non-coding RNA, 77 nt
Filed under: Heterosigma akashiwo
Lineage: Eukaryota; Raphidophyceae; Chattonellales; Chattonellaceae
Source: RNAcentral